Molecule: ribosomal RNA, 545 nt
Filed under: Enterococcus silesiacus
Lineage: Bacteria; Bacillati; Bacillota; Bacilli; Lactobacillales; Enterococcaceae
Description: bacterial SSU rRNA
Rfam family: Bacterial small subunit ribosomal RNA
Source: RNAcentral
GUGCCUAAUACAUGCAAGUCGAACGCUUCUUUUCUACCGAGUGCUUGCACUCAUUUGAAAAGAGGAGUGGCGGACGGGUGAGUAACACGUGGGUAACCUACCCAUCAGAGGGGGAUAACACUUGGAAACAGGUGCUAAUACCGCAUAAUAGUCGACACCGCAUGGUGUUGAUUUGAAAGACGCUUUCGGGUGUCACUGAUGGAUGGACCCGCGGUGCAUUAGCUAGUUGGUGAGGUAACGGCUCACCAAGGCCAUGAUGCAUAGCCGACCUGAGAGGGUGAUCGGCCACACUGGGACUGAGACACGGCCCAGACUCCUACGGGAGGCAGCAGUAGGGAAUCUUCGGCAAUGGACGGAAGUCUGACCGAGCAACGCCGCGUGAGUGAAGAAGGUUUUCGGAUCGUAAAACUCUGUUGUUAGAGAAGAACAAGUAGGAGAGUAACUGCUCUUACCUUGACGGUAUCUAACCAGAAAGCCACGGCUAACUACGUGCCAGCAGCCGCGGUAAUACGUAGGUGGCAAGCGUUGUCCGGAUUUAUUGGGCG